This 1416-nucleotide ribosomal RNA is filed under the name metagenome. Its description in RNAcentral is "bacterial SSU rRNA". It matches the Rfam family "Bacterial small subunit ribosomal RNA". The record is from RNAcentral.
UUGCGAAAGGGUGAGUAACGCGUGGACAAUCUACCUCCUUGCUGGGGAUAACACACCGAAAGGUGUGCUAAUACCGAAUACGGUCCUCUGUCGCAUGACAGGGUGAUUGAAGGUGGGGACCCUUCGGGGCCUGUCACAAGGAGAGGAGUCCGCGUACGAUUAGCUUGUUGGUGGGGUAAUGGCCUACCAAGGCGACGAUCGUUAGCUGGUCUGAGAGGAUGGUCAGCCACACUGGGACUGAGACACUGCCCAGACUCCUACGGGAGGCUGCAGUCGAGAAUCAUUCGCAAUGCGCGAAAGCGUGACGAUGCGACGCUGCGUGGAGGAUGAAGGCCUUCGGGUUGUAAACUCCUGUCAUACGGGAGUAGAAGCUCCUUAUUUAAUAGAUGUGGAGCUGCGAUAGUACCGUAAGAGGAAGUCACGGCUAACUCUGUGCCAGCAGCCGCGGUAAUACAGAGGUGGCAAACGUUGUUCGGAUUUACUGGGCGUAAAGGGUGCGUAGGUGGGCUUGUGUGUCGAAUGUGAAAGCCUGUGGCUCAACCACAGAAUUGCGUUCGAAACUGCAGGUCUUGAGUAUAGGAGGGGAGAGCGGAAUUCAGGGAGUAGCGGUGAAAUGCGUUGAUAUCCUGAAGAACACCGGCGGCGAAGGCGGCUCUCUGGCCUAUUACUAACACUGAGGCACGAAAGCUAGGGGAGCAAACAGGAUUAGAUACCCUGGUAGUCCUAGCUGUAAACGGUGUGUGCUUGAUGUGGGGAGGUUGACCCUUUCCGUGUCGGAGCUAACGCGUUAAGCACACCGCCUGGGGAGUACGGCCGCAAGGUUAAAACUCAAAGAAAUUGACGGGGGCCCGCACAAGCGGAGGAGCAUGUGGCUUAAUUCGAUGCAACGCGAAGAACCUUACCUGGACUUGACAUGUAGCUGCACGCCUCCUGAAAGGGAGGAAGCUUUCGAAGGUGCUACACAGGUGCUGCAUGGCUGUCGUCAGUUCGUGCCGUGAGGUGUUGGGUUAAGUCCCGCAACGAACGCAACCCUUGUGACUAGUUGCCAGCGCGUAAUGGCGGGGACUCUAGUCAGACUGCCUGUUCUGCAGGAGGAAGGUGGGGAUGACGUCAAGUCAGUAUGGCCCUUACGUCCAGGGCUGCACACGUGCUACAAUGGCCGGUACAGAAGGAAGCAAAACCGCGAGGUGGAGCAAAUCCCCAAAACCGGUCCCAGUUCGGAUUGGAGUCUGCAACUCGACUCCAUGAAGUUGGAUUCGCUAGUAACGGCGUAUCAGCUACGACGCCGUGAAUACGUUCCCGGGCCUUGUACACACCGCCCGUCACAUCAUGAAAGCCGUCUGCACCCGAAGUCAUUGUGCUAACCUGUUAAGGGAGGCAGGUGCCGAAGGUGUGGGUGGUGAUUGGGAUGAAGCC